AACAACCAUCCAAAAGCCAAGUUGUGGGUGCGUUCAACAGGGUGACAAAUCUCUUAUAUAGAGAUAGACGAAGCAGCACGGUGACAAUACAAAGAGAAAGAGAGUGGUGUGUGCAACAGCCUUCAUUUUACCACAUGAAGAUGGUUCUUCUGCUCGUUGUACUGGAGAUCAUUCUGCUCGUUACGAUGCCGUUUGGAGGGCUGGCAGGUCCGAGUGCGAGACAGAUAAACGAGAGUGACAACCCCAGGUGUCCCGCUUGCCGCAGUCCUCCUUGUCAUUGUUGAAAGUAUAUGGGGUUUUGUCCCAUUUAAUUUUUCAUUCCUCAAAAGUCAUGUAGACGCAUUACAGCUGGUUGCCUGGCAUCAGCAAAUUGUAGUCUCGCACAUGUACUAGAGUGGAGGAGGAAUGAGACCAUUGUAAUAAGGGACUCUCUCUCUCUCUCUCUCUCUCUCUCUCUCUCUCGUCGUUAGAGCAUGAUAAGAGGACUAGUACAGGCGCACCUUCUCCGCCGCCACACCGCACUACUCGCCUACAUCUUCGAUUCCUGGCGACUUAUUCAAACCUAUAAUAAGAAUGCUCCUCGGUGUGAUAGCAAUAUUGUUAGCCACCCAGGAGCAUGUGCUUCAUCAUUUUCCAAUUUGCAUCCUUUAUGUCAUUGUUAGGUUUUUGUGCUGUGUAACGACUACAUGCCUGGCAAUUU
Long non-coding RNA from Aegilops tauschii subsp. strangulata, 700 nucleotides. RefSeq lists it as uncharacterized. The record is from RefSeq and is a predicted model, not a curated record. NCBI's taxonomy places the organism in Eukaryota, Viridiplantae, Streptophyta, Magnoliopsida, Poales, Poaceae.